UACGAGGGGGGCAAGCGUUGUUCGGAAUUAUUGGGCGUAAAGGGUGCGUAGGCGGUCUGAUAAGUCAUCUGUGAAAUCUAUGGGCUCAACCCAUAGUCUGCAGGCGAAACUGUCGGGCUUGAGUAUGGGAGAGGUGAGUGGAAUUUCCGGUGUAGCGGUGAAAUGCGUAGAUAUCAGGAGGAACACCGGUGGUGUAAACGGCUUUCUGGACCAUUUCUGACGCUGAGGCACGAAAGCGUGGGUAGCAAACAGG
Molecule: ribosomal RNA, 253 nt
Filed under: uncultured bacterium
Lineage: Bacteria
Description: partial 16S ribosomal RNA
Rfam family: Bacterial small subunit ribosomal RNA
Source: RNAcentral